Molecule: long non-coding RNA, 1408 nt
Filed under: Homo sapiens (human)
Lineage: Eukaryota; Metazoa; Chordata; Mammalia; Primates; Hominidae
Description: HSALNT0215361
Source: RNAcentral
GGCACAGUGCCUGGCACACGGUGGAGUCAAUUUCCAAAAGGACAAAGAUGGAAGCUGCAAGGUCUCUUGACACCUAGGCCCCGAAGUUGCACAGCAUCACGUCUGCCACAUUCUGUCGGUCAAAGCAAGUCACAAAGCCGGCUGAGAUGCAAAAGGUGAGGAAACAGAUGCCACCUCUUAACGAGAGAAGCUGAAAAUAUUGUGGCCAUGUUUUACCGUCUACCACACACACAAUCCACAAUUCAGCAAUUCUAUUUCUAAAUGUGUAGCCUAGACCCAGAGAGACUCUUAUACAAACUGACAGGAACAAGAAUGUUCAUUAUAGCAUCCUGUGUUACGGCAAAAUCGAAAACAAAAAUGCCCACCACUGGGAGAAUAUAUAGAUGAAAAAUGGCAUGUUCAUGCACUGGAAAACUAUACAGCAAUUGAUAAAGGAACUAGAUCUCUAUUUGCAACUCGGAUGAAUCAAAGAUUAUGCUGAUUGGGAAAAACAAGCUGUAGAACGAAAUGUAUGAAAAAUUAGCCAGGCAUGGUGGUGCAUUCCUGUAAUCCCAGCUACUUGGGAGGCUGAGACGGGAGAAUCGCUUGAACCCAGCAGGUAGCGGUUGCAGUGAGCCAAGAUUGAGCCACUGCACUCCAGCCUGGGUGACAGAGGAAGACUCUGUCUCAAAAAAAAAAAAAAAAAAGAAAAGAAGAAGAAGAAGAAGAAGAAUUAAAUGUAUAGUAUGAUAUAAUUUUAAGGAAAAAAUUUCAAAUACAAAGACAAUACUGUAUAUUAUUUUCAUAUACAUACGCAUGUAAAAGGCUAGGAGGUAAUUGAAGUGUUCAGCAUUAAUGAGAUGAGAUUCUGUACAAUGGGGAGAAGUGGAAUGGGCAUGGAGUGAAGCCGGACUGGACUAAUGAGGGCAUGUCAUCUCUAACAGAGGAGAAAGAUGAGUAAAUAGAUUCGUCCAGUUUGUGCUCUUGAGAUCCGCACAUACAGAACAAUUUCAAAAUAAGAAGACAAACUUGAGAGGGAGCCACGAAGGAAGAAGAUAAAGAGGGAUAACUGACCGAGGGAGAUUUGCAGAAGGUUGAAGGAGGGUUAGCAACACAUGUUGCGGUAGGAGCCUCGUUCCUGUGGGAGAGCCAACACAUACAGACAAUUCAUACUCAGUGCUUUCCUUUUAAAAAAGUGUUGCUUAUGGCUGGGCACAGUGGCUCAUGCCUGUAAUCCCAGCACUUUGGGAGACUAAGGUAGGGUGGAUCACUUGAGGCCAGGAGUUCAAGACCAGCCUGGCCAACAUGGUGAAACCCUGUCUCUACUAAAAAUGCAAAAAUAAAAAUAAAAAUUAGCCAGACAUGGUGGUACAUGCCUGCAAUCCCAGCUACUUGGGAGGCUGAGGCAGGAAGAUCACUUGAACUGGGG